UACGUAGGUGGCAAGCGUUGUCCGGAUUUACUGGGCGUAAAGAGCGCGUAGGCGGUUUGGUAAGUCUGUGGUGAAAUCUCUCGGCUCAACCGGGAGGGGUCUGCAGAUACUGCCGGGCUUGAGUGCCGCAGAGGAAGAUGGAAUUCCCGGUGUAGUGGUGAAAUGCGUAGAUAUCGGGAGGAACACCAGUGGCGAAGGCGGUCUUCUGGGCGGUAACUGACGCUGAGGCGCGAAAGCGUGGGGAGCGAACCGG
Molecule: ribosomal RNA, 253 nt
Filed under: uncultured bacterium
Lineage: Bacteria
Description: partial 16S ribosomal RNA
Rfam family: Bacterial small subunit ribosomal RNA
Source: RNAcentral